RNAcentral lists this ribosomal RNA (301 nucleotides) under uncultured bacterium. RNAcentral describes it as "partial 16S ribosomal RNA". It matches the Rfam family "Bacterial small subunit ribosomal RNA", at positions 509 to 808 of the family's 1533-position model. The record is from RNAcentral.
CAGCCGCCGCGGUAAUACGGAGGGUGCAAGCGUUAAUCGGAAUUACUGGGCGUAAAGCGCACGCAGGCGGUCUGACAAGUCAGAUGUGAAAUCCCCGGGCUUAACCUGGGAACUGCAUUUGAAACUGUCAGGCUGGAGUCUUGUAGAGGGGGGUGGAAUUCCAGGUGUAGCGGUGAAAUGCGUAGAGAUCUGGAGGAAUACCGGUGGCGAAGGCGGCCCCCUGGACAAAGACUGACGCUCAGGUGCGAAAGCGUGGGGAGCAAACAGGAUUAGAUACCCGCGUAGUCCCUGUCUCUAUACC